ACAGGGAUUGCCCUAGUAACGGCGAGUGAAGCGGCAACAGCUCAAAUUUGAAAUCUGGCUCUUUUAGGGUCCGAGUUGUAAUUUGCAGAGGGCGCUUUGGCUUUGGCAGCGGUCCAAGUUCCUUGGAACAGGACGUCACAGAGGGUGAGAAUCCCGUACGUGGUCGCUAGCUAUUGCCGUGUAAAGCCCCUUCGACGAGUCGAGUUGUUUGGGAAUGCAGCUCUAAAUGGGAGGUAAAUUUCUUCUAAAGCUAAAUAUUGGCCAGAGACCGAUAGCGCACAAGUAGAGUGAUCGAAAGAUGAAAAGCACUUUGGAAAGAGAGUCAAACAGCACGUGAAAUUGUUGAAAGGGAAGCGCUUGCAGCCAGACUUGCUUGCAGUUGCUCAUCCGGGCUUUUGCCCGGUGCACUCUUCUGUAGGCAGGCCAGCAUCAGUUUGGGCGGUGGGAUAAAGGUCUCUGUCACGUACCUCUCUUCGGGGAGGCCUUAUAGGGGAGACGACAUACCACCAGCCUAGACUGAGGUCCGCGCAUCUGCUAGGAUGCUGGCGUAAUGGCUGUAAGCGGCCCGUCUUGAAACACGGACCAAGGAGUCUAACAUCUAUGCGAGUGUUUGGGUGUCAAGCCCGAGCGCGUAAUGAAAGUGAACGGAGGUGGGAACCCGCAAGGGUGCACCAUCGACCGAUCCUGAAGUUUUCGGAAGGAUUUGAGUAAGAGCAUGGCUGUUGGGACCCGAAAGAUGGUGAACUAUGCUUGAAUAGGGUGAAGCCAGAGGAAACUCUGGUGGAGGCUCGCAGCGGUUCUGACGUGCAAAUCGAUCGUCAAAUUUGGGCAUAGGGGCGAAAGACUAAU
This 849-nucleotide ribosomal RNA is filed under the name Stemphylium botryosum. RNAcentral describes it as "eukaryotic LSU rRNA". It matches the Rfam family "Eukaryotic large subunit ribosomal RNA", at positions 68 to 935 of the family's 3401-position model. The record is from RNAcentral. Lineage: Eukaryota; Fungi; Ascomycota; Dothideomycetes; Pleosporales; Pleosporaceae. RNAcentral also lists the same sequence under 1 other name.